CCGCCCCUCUUCGCAGCAUGGCGGGGGAACCGCAAACAGCGGAGUCCCCGCCGCACCACAAAACUGAUCCGCCCGCUCUGGGAACCGCACGUGACCCGCAGUUCCGUAGCCCCAACCCGCCCCUCCUGCGCGACCGCACCGCGACGGUGCGGCCGGCACCGCCCCGGGGCCCAUCAUCGGUGCCGCCCACAAGGGCUCCGGGCUCCCCUUCUCCUCCGCCUUCCCUUCCUUCUCCGCCAGCGCCGGACUAGUCGGUCGCCGUUCCCCGGUUUCUUCCCCAGCCUUGCCCUCCUGUUUUUCCUCGCCCUGUUUUUUCCCAACCGCCUCGUCCCCCUCCCUCGCCUCGACGGCUGCCCCUGCCUCCGCCUCCGCCGGCCGUCCCAGGGCACCUGCCGUUUGCCAAACCUCCCGACGCUGCUUCGCCUUUGUGAAAAUGCCUUGGAGCGAGCCUAGUGCGGGCAGGAGACCUAGAGCUGCCUCGUUCCCUGCGCACGCGCGCUCCAACAGCUCCCGACCCGCCUGCUCCAGGGCGCCCCAUCUUGAACAUUGAGAAGGGUCCUCCCCAGUCCCCACCCGCAUCAUCCAUCGCAAGAGCGGCACAAGGUCCUUCUUGCGCACAGGGCACUCAACCUGCUGCCCCACGCCUUUCAGCACACUCCCCACCUGCUCCAGCGAAGCCGGAUCGAGCAGCUGAACCACAAAACCCCCGGUUGCCCAGCCACCCUUCUAGCACGUCGGGGUCACCACUCGCUGCGUGCCUCCAUGCUUCCCCCGGUGCCCGGCGCGCAGCACCUCGGGGCGCCCUCCCGUCUGCGUAACCCCUAUGCAGGGACAAGGGAGACGGACGCGUGGUGUCCAGCUCCGAACGCCAAUUUAAUGCUGCGCAACAAAGCCACUUACAGCCAUACACGCAACCGCCCGACACGGACACCGGUGACCUCCCGCUCCACCCCAGGUGCUCGCAGGCACCACCCACCCCACUUAGUCCCGCUCUGCCCACCCCGCUCCCAUCACCGGGGGCUGCACUCAGCCUUCCACUUUCUGCGCACAGCCCCAUUGUUCCGCAGGACAAAGCAGCUCGGUCCGCUUCCAAGAGCUCCACGUGCCUGUGCUGGGGCAGCUGCUGGGAAGCCUCAUCUUGCGCUGCACCUACCAGGAGGACGGGACGCGCUUUUUUGCUUUGCAAGCUCUCCGUCAACUCCACCCAUUUAUCCUGGGGAGAACCCGUAAGGCGACGGCUGCUGACCGCCUCCGUCCGUCGCAGACGUCCCACGGGGCCGAGCGUGGAUGGCGCUGUGUCGGCUGCCGCUGCGAGCAGCCAAGGAGCGGAACCCCAUGGGGUCGGGGAGCUGCGCCCCACGGCCCCGCGCUCGGGGUGGGGGCAGCUGUCCCACUGCCCGCACGGUGCUCCCAUCUCGCACACCCGUGGCUUCUUCUCAUUUCCAGGAUGGGAAGCGCGGUCGGAGGAGCAGGACAAAGUCAAGCGGUGGGAAGCUGACCCUCUCCGGGACCACCGACACCUCGAACAUUUCGCUGAGCUUUGUGGAACACCUCCACUCUUCAGAGAAGACCGACCUCAUCCUUGUGGCGCUGCGGGACAUGACGGACUGCAGCAACUACAACACCCAGAUGGCUACCAGCACGCUGACCGUGCUGAUGGUCCACCUCAACCCGACGCCCGACGAUGGGAGCAACUGGCAGCUGUUUGCCCGAGGACUGAGCCUGCCCCCACCCCAUGUGGAGAGGGACUCCCAGCCGAUGCAAAGAGGGAUCCUCAGCCCACAGUCCUUCUGGACCCCCUCCCCACUCAUAGAGAGACCUCCACCCCACUCAUAGAGGAGCUCCUGCUGAGGACAGCUCCGUGCAGCAGGGACACGUGGGAACUGUGGGAGAUGGCGUUGUCCCUGGAAAGCGUGGUGCCACAGAUGCUGCAUGAGCUGCUGCAGCUGCUGGAGAUGGCGCCACUGGACCACGAGACUGAGACCGGCGGGCUUCCCCACACUGUGAGUUCAGGGGCCCCCGGUGAACCCCCUGCCCUGACCACAGGGGGAGCGGCUCGGUGCUGAGCGCUGCCUGGCUGCUUUCUGCAGGCGGCCAUGGCGCUGCACAAGAUCCUGCAGUGCCGGAGGUACAGCACGCAGGUGCGCAGGUUCUUCCCGGAGCUCUUCGUGGCGCUCAUCUUUCAGCUGGUGUCGUCUGGGGAGCUCGCUCCGCUGGAGGAAACCACUGUGGAUAAGGACCCGUUCACGCCCGCCCCUGCCAUCAGGUACCGCCGCCGUGCCCGUCACUGACCCCUGACCCCAUGUUGACCCCUGGCUCUUCGCUGCCCCCUGACCGCACGCUGCCCAUUUCCGUGCAGGACGGCACUGGAGGUGAUGCGCAGUUUGCUGCUGUGCGCGGAGCUGGACCAGCUGGCACGCUGCAUGGACAGACACGGCCUGUGGAGGCGGCUGCUGGGUGCUGCCACGUGGCGGAGCGGCCUGCACACCCUCACUGGGUACGGCCCCAAGCCCCUCCCACGCGCUGCCCCACACAGCAUCCCACAGUGACCCACACAACACACUGCCCCUUGCACUGCGCCGCAUGUUGCCCCAUGCGGCACUCCACGCUCUGUCCCACACGCUGCCCCAUGCACUGCCCCACACACCGCCCUCCUGAAAUGAGUAGGGAACGAGAUCGGGAGUGCGCAGGGGGUGCCGAGGCCUGGUGGGCCAAUGGGAGAGCACGCUGUGGGGCGGGAUGGGCUGGUCUGGUCUCCCCCACUGUGGACCCCACCUGAGCUCACCCACCCGCCCCGCCCCGCAGGACGAUGCCGAGGACCUGCCAGGGUCAGCGCACCCGCAUCUUCAGCCACCUGCAGAAGCUGCUGCAGCACCACGAGCUGCGGUGGAAGGAGGUCCCCGCCAUAACGUUCUACAUGGAGCUGCGUCCCUUCGGGGGGUUGGGGAGGCUGAGCACCCUCCCGCCCUGCUGCCCACUCACCAGGACCUGCCGGGGUCAGUGCAGCCACAUCUUCAGCCACCUGCAGAAGCUGCUGCAGUACCCUGAGCUGCGGUGGAGGGAGGU
This 3066-nucleotide long non-coding RNA is filed under the name Numida meleagris (helmeted guineafowl). RNAcentral describes it as "lncRNA (ENSNMEG00000013656.1)". Lineage: Eukaryota; Metazoa; Chordata; Aves; Galliformes; Numididae. The record is from RNAcentral.